RNAcentral lists this unclassified non-coding RNA (272 nucleotides) under uncultured fungus. RNAcentral describes it as "sequence contains ITS1, 5.8S rRNA gene". The stretch from base 224 to 272 matches the Rfam family "5.8S ribosomal RNA", at positions 1 to 49 of the family's 154-position model. The record is from RNAcentral. Lineage: Eukaryota; Fungi.
UCUCCGUUGGUGAACCAGCGGAGGGAUCAUUACUGAGUUACCGCUCUAUAACCCUUUGUGAACAUACCUACAACUGUUGCUUCGGCGGGUAGGCCGUCCCCUGAAAAGGACGCCUCCCGGCCCGGACCGGACCCCCCGCGGGACCGGACCCGGCGCCCGCCGGAGGAUAACCAAACUCUAUUGUAACGACGUUUCUUCUGAGUGGCAUAAGCAAAAUAAUCAAAACUUUUAACAACGGAUCUCUUGGUUCUGGCAUCGAUGAAGAACGCAGC